AUACGUAGGGGGCGAGCGUUGUCCGGAAUGAUUGGGCGUAAAGGGCGCGUAGGCGGCGCGGUAAGUCUGGAGUGAAAGUCCUGCUUUCAAGGUGGGAAUUGCUUUGGAUACUGCCGCGCUUGAGUGCAGGAGAGGUUAUCGGAAUUCCCGGUGUAGCGGUGAAAUGCGUAGAGAUCGGGAGGAACACCAGUGGCGAAGGCGGGUAACUGGACUGCAACUGACGCUGAGGCGCGAAAGUGUGGGGAGCAAACAGGAUUAGAUACCCUGGUAGUCCACACUGUAAACGAUGAAUGCUAGGUGUAAGAGGUAGCGACCCCUUUUGUGCCGGAGUCAACACAAUAAGCAUUCCGCCUGGGGAGUACGGCCGCAAGGUUGAAACUCAAAUGAAUUGGCGGGG
Molecule: ribosomal RNA, 397 nt
Filed under: uncultured bacterium
Lineage: Bacteria
Description: partial 16S ribosomal RNA
Rfam family: Bacterial small subunit ribosomal RNA
Source: RNAcentral